AUCCUGCUAAUAUGUUCCAAAUAGGACGAAACGCGCGUCAAACUGGAU
RNAcentral lists this non-coding RNA (48 nucleotides) under Schistosoma mansoni. Lineage: Eukaryota; Metazoa; Platyhelminthes; Trematoda; Strigeidida; Schistosomatidae. The record is from RNAcentral.